GGAGAUAGGGUUAAGCUAUUGUCUGAGAAUAUUCAUGUAAAUCGAUCUAUAAUUAAUAAUUUUCAAUUGCGCGUGAUUAUCUGAAUUGUGACUUAUGGAUUUAGGCAGUAGAAACAAUGAAGGAAAUUAAGACAGGUCAUAACUUAUGAAAACAGAAAAACAAAAAAAUCUUUAUUGAUGUUAAAUGUUUAAGUUCUACUUAAAAUUUGGUCAUCAGACCCUUUUUUAUGUUUUUUAGGAUUUUUUAAAAUAUUAUAAUUAUUAGAUAUUAACAGUUUCAGUUUCAGGUUUUGAAUGCUGCAGUGAACAUGCAAUUUCUUUUUACUAUAUUAAUCAAGAGAAUAUGUAUUUCAUGGAGUGGUUAACCUACAAAUUAAAGAAACGGUUUGAUUUGAAAGACAUCAGAGAAAAUGUAGAGAGACGAAUAUUGAAUGCUCUAAUGAACUUAAAUAAAACAGGAAGUAACAGAAGACCUGUAUGAAGAUUAUAUCAAUAAAUUGUUUCUUUAUGUACCUUAAAU
Long non-coding RNA from Eurytemora carolleeae, 520 nucleotides. RefSeq lists it as uncharacterized. The record is from RefSeq and is a predicted model, not a curated record. Lineage: Eukaryota; Metazoa; Arthropoda; Copepoda; Calanoida; Temoridae. The transcript has 3 exons.